GGCGUGCUAAUACAUGCAAGUCGAACGAACUCUGGUAUUGAUUGGUGCUUGCAUCAUGAUUUACAUUUGAGUGAGUGGCGAACUGGUGAGUAACACGUGGGAAACCUGCCCAGAAGCGGGGGAUAACACCUGGAAACAGAUGCUAAUACCGCAUAACAACUUGGACCGCAUGGUCCGAGCUUGAAAGAUGGCUUCGGCUAUCACUUUUGGAUGGUCCCGCGGCGUAUUAGCUAGAUGGUGGGGUAACGGCUCACCAUGGCAAUGAUACGUAGCCGACCUGAGAGGGUAAUCGGCCACAUUGGGACUGAGACACGGCCCAAACUCCUACGGGAGGCAGCAGUAGGGAAUCUUCCACAAUGGACGAAAGUCUGAUGGAGCAACGCCGCGUGAGUGAAGAAGGGUUUCGGCUCGUAAAACUCUGUUGUUAAAGAAGAACAUAUCUGAGAGUAACUGUUCAGGUAUUGACGGUAUUUAACCAGAAAGCCACGGCUAACUACGUGCCAGCAGCCGCGGUAAUACGUAGGUGGCAAGCGUUGUCCGGAUUUAUUGGGCGUAAAGCGAGCGCAGGCGGUUUUUUAAGUCUGAUGUGAAAGCCUUCGGCUCAACCGAAGAAGUGCAUCGGAAACUGGGAAACUUGAGUGCAGAAGAGGACAGUGGAACUCCAUGUGUAGCGGUGAAAUGCGUAGAUAUAUGGAAGAACACCAGUGGCGAAGGCGGCUGUCUGGUCUGUAACUGACGCUGAGGCUCGAAAGUAUGGGUAGCAAACAGGAUUAGAUACCCUGGUAGUCCAUACCGUAAACGAUGAAUGCUAAGUGUUGGAGGGUUUCCGCCCUUCAGUGCUGCAGCUAACGCAUUAAGCAUUCCGCCUGGG
This 871-nucleotide ribosomal RNA is filed under the name Lactiplantibacillus plantarum. Its description in RNAcentral is "bacterial SSU rRNA". It matches the Rfam family "Bacterial small subunit ribosomal RNA", at positions 41 to 877 of the family's 1533-position model. Lineage: Bacteria; Bacillati; Bacillota; Bacilli; Lactobacillales; Lactobacillaceae. The record is from RNAcentral.